Gambusia affinis (western mosquitofish) is the source of this 921-nucleotide long non-coding RNA. RefSeq lists it as uncharacterized. NCBI's taxonomy places the organism in Eukaryota, Metazoa, Chordata, Actinopteri, Cyprinodontiformes, Poeciliidae. The record is from RefSeq and is a predicted model, not a curated record. The transcript is spliced from 4 exons.
CAGAGAUAUGAAGUCUCUCUGGAACUGAGGCUCGAUCACCUGCAUCAUGUGCUUCACCUGGCUGGUCUCGCACCGAUCGAUCAGCUCGUCCAGAGCCAGCAGCCUCUCCGGGCCGCUCCACGUCUGCAGAAAGAGAAAAAUGAGUCGGUUUAUGCGGGCCGCGGUCGGCUCCUUUCAGCGGUUGCAUCAGGACAGCUCGGAGGCAGCACUUUGCAGACGCACUCAAAGACCGAAAUCUAUUCAAGAAGAUGCAGAACGUGAAGAAAUGUGGAUUGUGCUCUGCAGCGCUGCAGGACAGGAGAGGUGGAGUCUGAAGACCGAGUUUACCUGGAAGGUGAGAAGCCAGUCCUGCAGCCCGGAGGGAGGUGGGCCGGAGUUGACGCGUCGGCGCUGAGCUGAAUGCCCAUUGGCUAGCCGCAGGUCGCCGAAGGUCGUGGGCGUGGCCUGAGCCAGACUGGAGGGGCUGCAGGAAGAGAAAUCUCAACCCAAGUUUUGAAUUUUUUCCAGCGUCAGUAUACGUCAACUUCCAUGCUCCUGACAAAGCAAAGUAUUCCCUCAGUAUGAUGCUCCCACUACCAUGUUUCACAGAGCGAGCGGAGAGCUCAUGAUGACCUGAUGCCUGGUGGAGAUUUAAAAACCCACAGAUCUGUUUACUGUGGCUCCUGAAGGGAAUGAUCUGCACUGGAUGUUUUAUUUAGGGGUUUCAGAGUGAAAGAGAGGAAUCUGAAUCUGAACGCCACACUGUUCCCAUAAUUUAAACCUGAGUGUCAUUUAGCUUUUGUUUCUCAAAUACAUGCUGCUAUAAUCCCAAUAAACUGAAAGUUGUAGUUUAUUGAAACAAAAUGAGAUUGCUGGUAGCUUCAAGGUGAUUAUCAUCUUUAAAUGGAGGUGAUGAAGCGUUUCAUCUGCUGUUCCAGCAGC